Molecule: long non-coding RNA, 2495 nt
Filed under: Trifolium pratense (red clover)
Lineage: Eukaryota; Viridiplantae; Streptophyta; Magnoliopsida; Fabales; Fabaceae
Description: long non-coding RNA (TPRA_LNC002165)
Source: RNAcentral
GCACCUAGGCAGAAUAGCAGCACCAAUUCUUUCCAUUUUUAAUUUCUUUCCAAUAAAUUCAAGCCAAAUCUUUGUCAAGAAUUUCUCCUAACCUUUUUUGUGUACUCAAACCCUAAUCCUUUAGGUAUAAAUCAUAGAGUGCGUUCUUCACUAUCACAAACACAAACCUUCACCACUCACCACCAUUAUCUUCUCUUCUCCAUUCACCACCACACAAAACCAAUUUACACAUAACAAAAACAAAAAAAAAAGAAACUAAACCAAAAAGAAACAGCAAAGAGACAGAACCAAUAAGCAAAAAUGAGAAGGAAAGAACGAGAAGGAAGAAUCAGAACCGACGAACCUCCGCGCACCGCCAGCUUCCUCCUGAUCGGUCAAUAUUCUUUCUCUCUUACGCGUUGACCUGUUUCUUUUCUUUUAUUUUAUUUUUUGUUUUGCCUUUUUUUUUAUAGUUUAUUUGGUUAUAUCAUUUUAAUGGAUCUGUUAGUUUGUUAUUUUAGUUGAUUAUUUUGAUGUGCAAAAACUCUUAUCUCACUCAAAUAAACACUUAAAUCUUCAUAACAUAAUAAAGAAUAAAUAUUAAGAGUUAAUUGAUCGAAAAAGGAAAAAUUAUAUAAAUAAAGUAAAAUGUUAAAAAUAAAAUAUAAUUUCACCUAAGAUUAUACUAUUAAAUUUUUUUUAAAAAAUACACAUUAAAUUUACAAUGAGCUGCAAUUACAACGAGCACACAAACUAUAAGUUGAUGCUUGACAUUCUAACCUCAAAAUUUGAUUACUAGUACUCUCAUACCUGAAAUUUUGCCCAUUCAUUUUAUUAUUAUGUUGGCAUUUGUCGCAUUUAUUUUCAAAUGUGAGUUUGUCCAUUUGAUAGUGAAUAGAGUCUUAUAAGUGUGAGAUCACGAGUUUGAAUCUCAUUGUUGUCCCUUUGGUGAUUUUUUUAUUACAAUUUUGGCAUUGUUUUUAUGAUUUUUUUUAUUUAUUUAAAUCAUCUUUUUAAGAAGCUUAAUUAGCCCACCUAAAUUGACACAAGAGAGAAUCGAACCUAAAACCUUAAGGAGAAGCACACUCUCAGGUCCCUCCUAGGUCCCAAGCCAAUAUCAUCAUACCAACCCAAGCAGAUUUAUUUAAAUCAUUUGAUAACGAAAAAAUCCAAAAAAGAUGUCAAUUUAUUUUUUAUUUUUUUUUGUUACAAUUUGGUUCUUAUUGUUAAUAACUUUAUUGAAAAAAGCAAAAAAAUAAUGUUAACUGUUUUUUUUCUUCUUUUCUUUGGUUUACUAUUGUUAUAUUUUUAUUACUUUAUUAUUAUUAAGCAAAACAAAAAAAAUCAAAAAGCAAAAAAAUCAAAAAAGGAAACAAGAAAGGCAGUAGCAAUACGCAGAAAAGCUAAAGCACGCUCCUCCUCCCAUGUUUUUUCAACUCCAACUCCCCCUUAAUUCAAGCAUUCAAUUUUUGUUUCUUUCCAAAUUUUGCAUCAAAAUUAAAGAGGUUGUCCCCCUUGCUCUUUUAUCAUUCAAACUCUAGUCCUUUGGGAGGCAGCAAAUUGAGAGAAAGAGGAACAAAAGAAAAAACACGGUAAGCAUUUCACAAAUCCUACAACAACAUUCAAACACCUACAUCAACCUUCCAAAAUCUUUCAAUUAAGCUAAGUACUACUCCACAAACAUUUUAGCUGUCUUUCAACACCUAGCAAGCAGUCACAAAACAAGCAAAAUUAGACGACAUUCUCCACCCAGACCAAGCAAAAAACACAUCAUGCUUGAAAGAAAAGCAAAAACUAAUAAGAGAGGUAAAAAGUCUGCAAACACUACAACUCAUUCUAUACAACUUAGUGAGCAGUACUCCGAGAUUCACAAAAACACUUCAAAUCUAAGAUUAUUGAGAUAUCAUCCAUGUAAUAAGUCAUUUCUUAUUGUGAACACGCAUGAAAGCAUUGGUGUGUUGGUGCCUUUAACUAUAUAAUUAAAGGCACCAACACACCAAUGUUUUCAUUUGUGUUCACAAUAAGAUAUGAGUUAUUACCUAAUUGAUAUAUAUCUCAAUAAUCUCAUAUUUGAAGUAUUUUUUUGUGAGUCUCAGAAUACUGCUCACUAAGUUGUAUAUAAUGAAUUGUAGUCUUUGUAGACUUUUUACCCUUCUGGGUUUUGGCUUUUCUUUCAGGCAUGAUGCGUUUUUUGCUUGGUUUGGGUGGAGAAGGUCGUUUCAUUUUGCUUCUCUGGUGACCGCUUGAUUGGUGUGGAAAGACAGCUGAAAUAUUUGUGGAAUAGUACAUAGCUUAAUUGAAAUGUGUUUGAAUGUUGUCGUUGUGGGAUUUGUGGACUGCUUGCCACAUUUUUUUUCUUUUAUUCAUCUUUUUCUCAAUUUUUUGCCUCCCAAAUGAUUAGAGUUUGAAUGAUAAAAGAGCAUGUUGGACAACCUCUUUAAUUUUGAUGCAGAUUUGGAAAGAAACAAAAAUGGAAUACUUGAAUUAAGGGGGGAUUGGAGUUGAAAAAACAUGGG